RNAcentral lists this ribosomal RNA (373 nucleotides) under uncultured Bacteroidota bacterium. RNAcentral describes it as "bacterial SSU rRNA". It matches the Rfam family "Bacterial small subunit ribosomal RNA", at positions 521 to 896 of the family's 1533-position model. Lineage: Bacteria; Pseudomonadati; Bacteroidota. The record is from RNAcentral.
UAAUACGGAGGGUGCAAGCGUUAUCCGGAUUUAUUAGGUUUAAAGGGUUCGCAGGCGGAAUUUUAAGUCAGUGGUGAAAGCCUACAGCUCAACUGUAGAACUGCCAUUGAUACUGAUAUUCUUGAGUAUAGAUGAAGUGGGCGGAAUAUGUCAUGUAGCGGUGAAAUGCAUAGAUAUGACAUGGAACACCAAUUGCGAAGGCAGCUCACUAAACUAUUACUGACGCUCAUGAACGAAAGCGUGGGGAGCGAACAGGAUUAGAUACCCUGGUAGUCCACGCCGUAAACUAUGAUCACUAGAUGUUGGCGAUAUAUUGUCAGUGUUUUAGAGAAAUCGUUAAGUGGUCCACCUGGGGAGUACGUUCGCAAGAAUG